This 1445-nucleotide long non-coding RNA is filed under the name Olea europaea subsp. europaea. The record is from RNAcentral. Lineage: Eukaryota; Viridiplantae; Streptophyta; Magnoliopsida; Lamiales; Oleaceae.
GUUCCGUUUAUCUAAACUCUUUUAAAUAAUAUAAAAAAAAUUAUAUGCAUUCUGUUUAAUUAGAAAUCUAAAUUCAUGUUUAUUCAACGUACUACUAAUAAGUCAAUCUGUCUAAAGAAUAGUCUCCCCAUCAACCAAUAGGUUUUUUUAUCUAUCGGCCUACAAUCUAUGUCCUUUUAACCGCUGCAAUUUUUUCAAUUAAUUCUCCUUAAACUUGCAUGAAGAACACACAAAACACGUAAAACAACACCAUUUUAUACAGCUUCCAAGAUGGUAUUUUAUUGGACAAUGUGAAUAGGGUUGCAUUGGAUUCGCUCUUAUAAGUUUAUAAGGAUAUCCAAACAUACAAAACACUAUUCCAAUUCUAAUCUACCAAAGAACAUUAUUACCAAGGGUAGGGAGGAGGACUUAAACAAGUUUAAUAGUGGAACAUAUACUCACCAAAUAAAUUUGACCAUACCUUGAAGAAUAAAUUCCUCCUAUCGUUAGAAUUUUUUGAAAGGUAACUAUCUCGGUUUCAUAUAUAAAUUUCUAUAGAAUCUUUGAAAAAGACUUUCCUUCUUAAGAAAGAAAAGACUUCCUAUCUUUGGGAUCUAAUCCUACACCGCUGCUCAAGACUUUAGUGGAUCGACUCUAUUACAUAAGUUGAUUCCUAAACGAUCAAUUUGAAGCUUGGAUAGUACAUUGAUUUUUUCAAAAGCACAACAGCAAUCUCAUGUUUCAUUUUUUAAAUCUCCCUAAGUAAAACAAGUUAACAUACCUCAGGUGUCAAUUUUUGCUAAAUACGAUUUUUCUAGAAAUAAAUUUAUUUCAAACAACACUGCAUGAACGAUUAAAUAUAAGCUACACGGAAGAAUUUAAAAAAACAAAUAUCAAGGACAAAAAAUAAAAUCUAGAUGUUAGUUCCUGAACAUGAGAAAAAAAAAAGCAGAUCUUAAUAUAAUGGAACGGAUCAAAAAUCAAGAAUAUACAACUCAUCAAUCUACAAAAGACACAAUUUAUUUGAAAGAAUUCAUUAAAAAGUAAAAUAAAAACAAACUAAACAAAAAUUGGAAGAAAAAAGAAGUAAAAAACUCGACAGAGAAAUGACAGCCGUGGCUUAUAGUUCAAAAGUAUACAAACACCCUUUGAAACCGCAAUUCAUUCUCUCAAAAGAAAUCAAUUCCUGAACGUAAGGCAAAAAAAUCAAUAUUAGAUUUUUAUACAGAGAAAUAAAUAAAAAUCGAGAGCAUAUGACUCAUUAUUAGUCUACAAAAGACACAAUUUAUUCUAAUGAUAAAGAAAACAGACAAAGCAAAACCUCGAAGAAGGUAAAAGCAAAAACUCAAAGAAUACAGCAUAUAGAAUCAGCAAAUGUACCUACAAUCUUUGAUGAUUUAAGAAAGAUCCAAGAUAAGAAGGGAAAUCACCAAAGAAGAGAAGCGAGAUGAGCAACGACACCAGGG